RNAcentral lists this ribosomal RNA (134 nucleotides) under uncultured bacterium. RNAcentral describes it as "partial 16S ribosomal RNA". It matches the Rfam family "Bacterial small subunit ribosomal RNA", at positions 331 to 482 of the family's 1533-position model. The record is from RNAcentral.
CGCCCUUCCUACGGGAGGCAGCAGUGGGGAAUAUUGGACAAUGGGGGCAACCCUGAUCCGGCCAUGCCGCGUGUGUGAAGAAGGCCUUCGGGUUGUAAAGCUCUUUUACCCGGGAUGAUAAUGACCGUACCGAG